GACGAACGCCGGCGGCGUGCUUUACACAUGCAAGUCGAACGGUGAAGGUGGAGCUUGCUCCGCCGGAUCAGUGGCGAACGGGUGAGUAACACGUGGGCAACCUGCCCCUAACUUUGGGAUAACUACUCGAAAGAGUAGCUAAUACCGGAUAUGAAGUCUGUAGGCAUCUAUGGAUUUGGAAAGUUUUUCGGUUAGGGAUGGGCCCGCGGCCUAUCAGCUUGUUGGUGAGGUAGUGGCUCACCAAGGCGACAACGGGUAGCCGGCCUGAGAGGGCGACCGGCCACACUGGGACUGAGACACGGCCCAGACUCCUACGGGAGGCAGCAGUGGGGAAUAUUGCGCAAUGGGCGAAAGCCUGACGCAGCAACGCCGCGUGCGGGAUGAAGGCCUUCGGGUUGUAAACCGCUUUCAGCAGGGAAGAAGCAAAAGUGACGGUACCUGCAGAAGAAGCACCGGCUAACUACGUGCCAGCCGCCGCGGUAA
This 483-nucleotide ribosomal RNA is filed under the name uncultured bacterium. RNAcentral describes it as "partial 16S ribosomal RNA". It matches the Rfam family "Bacterial small subunit ribosomal RNA", at positions 28 to 523 of the family's 1533-position model. The record is from RNAcentral.